AGCGAACGCUGGCGGUAGGCCUAACACAUGCAAGUCGAACGGCAGCACAGUAAGAGCUUGCUCUUACGGGUGGCGAAUGGCGGACGGGAGAGGAAUAUAACGGAAUCUACUUUUUCGUGGGGGAUCACGAAGGGAAACUUACGCUAAUAUCGCAUACGACCUACCGGUGAAAGCAGGGGAACUUCGCAGCUUGUGCGAUUGAAUGAGCCGCUGUCGGAUUAGCUAGUUGGCGGGGUAAUGGCCCACCAAGGCGACGAUCCGUAGCCGGUGUGAGAGGAUGGUCGGCGACACUGGAACUGGGACAGGGUCAAGGGGACUGCGAGAGGGAGCAGUGUGGAAUGUGAGGCAGUGGGGGCGAGCCUGGUCCAGUCAGACCGCGUGUGAGACGAAGGCCUUCGGGUUGGAAAGACCUUUUGUUGGGUGAGAAAAGCAGUAGGUUGAUACCACGCUGUUCUGACGGUACCCGAUAAAGAAGCACCGGCUAACUUCGUG
This 492-nucleotide ribosomal RNA is filed under the name uncultured bacterium. RNAcentral describes it as "partial 16S ribosomal RNA". It matches the Rfam family "Bacterial small subunit ribosomal RNA", at positions 30 to 507 of the family's 1533-position model. The record is from RNAcentral.